GACGAACGCUGGCGGCGUGCUUAACACAUGCAAGUCGAACGGAAAGGCCUCAGCUUGCUGGGGUACUCGAGUGGCGAACGGGUGGGUAACACGUGGGUGAUCUGCCUUGCACUUUGGGAUAAGUUUGGGAAACUGGGGCUAAUACCGGAUAUGAACUGCUGCUAGUGUGGUGGUUGGAAAGAUUUUUCGGUGCGAGAUGAGCUCGCGGCCUAUCAGCUUGUUGGGGGGGUAAUGGGCUACCAAGGGGUCGUCGGGUAGACGGGCCGGGAGGGUGUACGGGCACAUUUGGGACGGGAUUCGGGCCAGACCCCCUCGGGAGGCAGCCGUGGGGAAUAUUUCAAAAUGGGCCGGAGCCCGAUGCAGCGACGCCGGGUGGGGGGUUACCGCCUUCGGGUUGUAAACCCCUUUCGACAGGGGCGAAGCCGUUUGUGACGGUACUUGUAUAAGAAGCACCGGCUAACUACGUG
Molecule: ribosomal RNA, 467 nt
Filed under: uncultured bacterium
Lineage: Bacteria
Description: partial 16S ribosomal RNA
Rfam family: Bacterial small subunit ribosomal RNA
Source: RNAcentral